Molecule: ribosomal RNA, 2607 nt
Filed under: Triticum aestivum (bread wheat)
Lineage: Eukaryota; Viridiplantae; Streptophyta; Magnoliopsida; Poales; Poaceae
Description: partial small subunit ribosomal RNA
Source: RNAcentral
AUGGAGGCGGAGGGGGAGGACUUGUGGUCGAUGAUGGCGGCGGAGACGGAGACGGCGGAGGAGUGGAAGCUGGCGCGUGAGUCCGAGUGCCGUUUGCGCAAUUGCGAGUGCCGCUGGCGUAGUCUCUGCUCCCCCCGGAUCCCCCGCGUGGCCCCCGGGACGGACUACUCUUCCACCCCCGCCGGUGCCGGCGCCGGCGCCGGCGCCGACCGCCCCGGCUGGUCGCUGCUCGUCGGCCUCAAGGACGGCGUCGUCCUACGGCUCAAACGCUUCCGCGUGGCGCGGUCCGGGCGGAUCCUCGGCCGGAGCGACGACGCGCUCGAGGCUUUCCACGACAUCAAGACGCGGACUGGUCGCAGGUUCGACGCCAGCGCCGCCCUGGCUCCCGACGGCCGCUCGCUCUGCGUCCUGCGCCAGGAGGACGACGGUGCCGGCAAGCAACCCCAUGCCCUGCACCUAACUCUGCAGCAGCCCCAGACAGACACAUCUCCGGAGCAUCUUCCUUUCCCGCCGGAGAUUCAAGCAGGGAGGAGUCGUAACUGCAUGCCCAUCUCCGCCGCUGGCCACAUCUUUGCUGUGUGCCCCAUCGUAGAAUAUGGCGUCAAGUUGAGCCUCCUCAUGCGACCCCUGCAUCCGCUCCCCGAGGGCGGGGGCGUGGGCCAAUGGGAGCAGGUCGGCCAACACAAACACGACAAGGACAAGUACCGGUGGUUGGGCGGCGGGUUCCUCCAGGGCUACGCCGUGCUCCCCGGCCCCCUCAUCCUCAUAUCCUUGAAGCAAGACCGCGGCUUCUUCACCUUCGCCCCUUGCUUCGGCUCCCGCGACUGGACCCCGGUGCUCACCGACGAAACAAGGCCGCCGCGAGACUACAUCCCUAUUGCCGGCCGCGGCGUCUACAUGGAGCAAGACAAUGCCAUCUACAUGCUCCGUGGGAACACCAUCUAUGCCUACAAGCUCAGCUACAUACACCAGGAUCAGGGUGAUGAUCAGGGGAGGGGGAGGCUCAGGCUGGAUCCGCCCAUCACCAUCGACUCUGUAUGUCCUUACAGUUCAUGUCAUGGGUGUGGCUUCCUCACCCGUCUCGACGGUCGGCUCAUGUGCUCCGUCUGGAUCAGCCUGGCACCACGUCAACAAUUAGAAGAUUGCCGGUGUGACAACCUACAUGCCAUUGUCACCACCUUCAACCUCCAAGAUCCAGCUCAGGGGGGAAUAGAGGUGCUGCAUUCCUCUUUCCGCCGGGUAGACAUGGAGCGCAAUCGAGAGAACCAGGAAUUCUGCUUUCUACAGGAGUACGAGGACAAGGAUUGUCCGGUGCUGCUGCAACACCAAGAAGGGCAUGAGAAGGAUCUAACCAGCUGUUCCCAGCAACACGUCGACCAACCCUCCAAGAUGCUUGAUUGUUGCAGACGGUUUCUCGAAAUGAAAGACUGUCCAAGCUUUUGCUUUUCCUGCGGCACCAAAGGUCACGUUGCCCGCGACUGCUCUCUCCCGUCACAGCAGCCCUUGCCGGCAAUGCCUCACCGCACGCUGGUUGGCUGUCCUUCAAUGCAACACCGAGUCCCUUUUGAAAGGCGUCCGGUUGCUACAACAAGUAUCAAUAAAGAUCUGUUUAUCAUCUGCCAAGCUGGGUCAGAACUAGUCAUCUACCAUACAGGCGUUAUGGAUGAGACUUCACUGUUGCAAGGAGGAGGAGACGACGGCAAGCUUCUCCAACCGUCGUGUUAUGUUGCAGCAUAUGUUGGUGAUGGUGACUAUUGGCACUUUUUCCUUCACAGUGGCUCAAAAAUACACGCCGUUUCGAGGAAUAGAGAUGGCAUGCUUGAGUUUAGUCUGAACAAGGACCGUACGAUGGCUAUGGAUCGUCUAUCUGUACGGCGGCUGCCAAGUGCUGAUACUUUUGUUUUGUUUAUCACAGUUGGUGGAGAGACCAUUGCCCUUACUGAUACUCUGAAAGUUUUCCAUCAGACAAGGUUCAGUUAUGGAUCCACCACGUGGCUGCGUUGCAAGACAGAUCAGUCGCAUGUUCUCCACAGGAAGGUUAUGAUAUCUGGAUAUGUAGCAGUGAAUGACGAUUCCUUUAUAGUCUGUGAUGCUCUCACAGGUUCCUGUCUUUUGUUUGACCUGGGUGCCAAGCAAUGGCGUGUUGUCAUGCCUUGGGCAGCAUUCGCAGAGGACCUGCCAAGGACUUGCCCUACAAAGUGCCAUUUAAAUGGUAGAUGUGUGUCUGUCGAUGGCUUUAUCUACACAUGCAGAGAUGGAGGGCUUGCUGCUUAUCAGCUGCUUGAUAAAGAUCAUUCUGUGUAUCUCAGCGAGCCCAUCCUUUUGCCAUUCUCAUGGCUUGUGGAUGAUUGUGUGGGUGAGGACAUGUGCUUGGAUUAUGCUGGCAAAGAUGUGGACUCUGGUGCUAUUUUGUUUUACGUGGUGCAACUGCAAAGUGGAUAUCGUCCGCCCAAGCAUGAUGUACAGAUCACCAUUGUCCAGGUUAAGACUAAAGCAACAACCAGCAGCAAGAAAAGGGAACCAGUGCGAGUUACCCCCGUGGACUGUGUCACGCGGUUCAUACAUCACGAGGAAGCCGUCGAUGCCAGAUGCUGCUUUGCGCUCUAG